This 167-nucleotide ribosomal RNA is filed under the name uncultured Amaricoccus sp. RNAcentral describes it as "partial 16S ribosomal RNA". It matches the Rfam family "Bacterial small subunit ribosomal RNA", at positions 340 to 524 of the family's 1533-position model. The record is from RNAcentral. Lineage: Bacteria; Pseudomonadati; Pseudomonadota; Alphaproteobacteria; Rhodobacterales; Paracoccaceae.
UACGGGAGGCAGCAGUGGGGAAUCUUGGACAAUGGGGGCAACCCUGAUCCAGCCAUGCCGCGUGAUCGAUGAAGGCCUUAGGGUUGUAAAGAUCUUUCAGCUGGGAAGAUAAUGACGGUACCAGCAGGAGAAGCCCCGGCUAACUCCGUGCCAGCAGCCGCGGUAAU